Long non-coding RNA from Ailuropoda melanoleuca (giant panda), 4846 nucleotides. RefSeq lists it as uncharacterized. The transcript has 4 exons. The record is from RefSeq and is a predicted model, not a curated record. NCBI's taxonomy places the organism in Eukaryota, Metazoa, Chordata, Mammalia, Carnivora, Ursidae.
GGGUAAAGUAAGUACAGAAAUGCAGCAAAAGGAAGCUCAAAUGCAGCUUGAAUGUCUCCGAGCCUGUCCGUGCUUUUCAUCCCACGACACUCCCUCUUGGUACUUACGGGAGCGCGAGGGGCCCUCUAGGGGAAGGGAAACUUCUGGACUGUCACCACUGAGUUCCAAGCAUUCCAGAGGGCUCACUGGCAAGGAAGUCUGUCAUCGCCUGACGGAGAAAGGCCUGGUUGGGUUGGCUCCACUCCUCCCCUCUCAGCCCCUGUCUUUGCAGCCCCCUGGUCUCACGGACCAGCCCCCACAGCCUGUCCUACCAAGAGAACACCGGCCUCCAGCAGGAAAGACCCACUUCCCAGCCCCACCAAGGGGCACCUCGGGAGGGCAACUGGAGCUUGCAGCAAGGAUGCCUGGCCUUGGCUCUGGUUUAGCCCCUUACCCUCUCUGGGCCUCAGGGUCUGCACUUUGAAAUAAGAAAUCUUAGCUCAACUAGACUGGCACACUGCCGUCCUGGGGCCUGAGUCUUGUCCUGGCUCUAAGGAAUAGUCACGGAGUGCUGCCCCCCAUUCCCUCUCCCCAGGCUCUGGAAAAACAGCUUCCUCACACACACCGCCCCCCGUAGGCCAUCAACUCCAGCCCGGGGAUGUCACACCGAGCCAUCUUAUUGAUUUUGUGUGUCUGGUUCCUCCCGAACCCCAGGUCUUUCUUGCUCCCAGCGAGACUGAGCGCUCCUUAAGAACAACAGCCUGGGGUCUGCUUGCUUCUGGGCUCCCCUCAGAGCCCAGUCUGGGGCUGUGCGCACGCUCGAACCUCAGACCGGGUACUGAUCGCGCCUGGCCCCUCCUCGAGGUCUUUGGUGAACACCCACCGGACCCCCGGUCCCCGGUGCCUACUGGACAGAGUUCUGGCUACACAGGAAGGAAGCCCAGCUUCUGCCCCCGGCAGCACUCCGCUCGGGCUGUAGGACUCUUGGCAAGGCCCUUCACCUUGCUCAGAAGCAUCUGUGCUUUUUCAAACUGCUCAGUCAAGGCCAGGCGGGCCGGGGACAUUCCUGAGUGGUGGGGAGAGGCCAAGGGCCUGAGCUGGGGGAUUCCAGGCCUCAGCCCCACCACCCAGAGCUGUUCCAUUCUUGUAACUUUUACACAUUCGGCUUUCACGUGGGAUUUUUGCUUUUUGUUUUGACGGCUUUCCCGAGGGAAAAGGGAUCUACGAUAACCUGACAUAUUUAAAGAGCACAACUGGAUAGGUUUUGUCCAUCAACACGACAGAGUGAACACAUCUAUCCCCGUCAAGAGUUUCCUCCUGCCCUUUUCUAAUUCCCUCCAUGACCCGGGAACCACUGAUCUGCCUUCUCUCGUUGCCUUGUCUAGAAUUUUCUGUAAACGGGAGCCUACAGUAGGUACUCUCUUGUGUCUGGCUUCUCUUACUCGGGGUGAUUAUUUUGAGAUUCCUUUGCGUUGGUGCGUGGAUCCGUGGUUCGUUCCUUUGCAAUGCUGAGCGAUAUUCUGUUGUAUGGAAACACCGCAAUCUGUUCACCUGUUGGCCUGUUGGGGGCAGUUUGGACUGUUUCGGUCUCUAGCUGUUAGAAAUGCAACCGCUAUGAAUGUUCCUUCAUACAAGAUUUUAUCUGAAGGAGUCGCGCUACUAAAAAAACAAAAAAAAAAAAGCAGCAGCAGCAACAGCAGCAGCAGCUGGACAAGACGAUCCCUGGAGUGACAGGCUCUGAAGGACCCAGAAGCUGUAGUGGGCCGAGCUGGGGACUCAAGGAUGAAGGGAACUGCCCCUUGCAGGCCGCUGAUGGGUGCCAAGCACCUGACCGCAUUUGCUCAUUUCAUCACAGCCCGUCCGUGAGACAGGUGCCACUGUGAUUCCCAGUUUACAGACAAAACAGCUGAGACAUAAGGCAGUGAGUGUCCCUGAUGACACACAUGUAGGCGGUGGGUCCGUUGUGACUCAGACCCAAGGCCUGGCUGCCGCGGGGCCCAGGCUCCCAGCCACCACGUGUCUGUACAGGGGCUGCGAGAGGGUUCCCUGGCUGGCUUUGAUUCGCCGUGUAGUGGGGGUUGAUAUGGGCGUUGGUGCCGUGCCGGACUCGCUGGGAACACGCAGUCAGCCUGGGAGGCACACUUUGGGGAGCCGGGGCCACACCCGCAGGAAGAAGUGAGUCAGCCACGUGGCCCAGGGGCGCCGGGUGCUGGGCCUGGCAAAAGCAAUGGUGGGGAGCCCCGGGUUACACGGAGGCCACGGGACUUUUCACAUAUGUGCCCUCCUGUAAUGUUCACAGUAACUGGGGGGUUAUCAGCCCAUUUUAGAGAUAAGAACACUGAGGCUCAGGAGAGUCGAACUGUUAAGAAUCUGUCAGCUUCGAGUAACAGAAAAGCCAGCCCAAAGUGGCUUAAACGAUAAAGACAUUCAUCUGACAAAACCCCCAAUGUUCUAGAUUUGGCGAAUUCCAGCUCGGUAAUCCAGGGAUGCCCCAGGCCAUUGUUCCCUCUUUGUGGGCUCCUUCUUUGGCGCCUUGGCCCAUCCCUUCCUCACAGUCCCCAAAUGGCUGCAAAGAUGUCAGGGACCCACAAUGGCACUCAGAGGCAAGCAGGGAACUCUCUCCUCUCUGUCGCCCAUUUUGAGAGGAGCGAGACCCUCCCAGCAUCCCCACAGACUUCCCCUUGCUUCCCAUUGGCCAGGACUCCCUAAACCAGUCAGCGGGUAAGGGAACAACACACCUUCUGGGGCAGGGGUAGAGGUGGGGAGGGGGUAGGGUGGUAGGGGGCUCUGCUGGGGUGGGGCUCUCCUUGGGGGGGGGGUCCUCCAGGUGCCAAGAGAAGGGUAAACAACAUCCAGGUUUUGCUCCUGAGGAAGGAGGGGUCUGCCUCAGGGAAGAGAGUUUGCUCAAGGUGGUCCAUGUGUUUAGAGGCCGAGCUGAGUUCUGACGCAUGCAGAGACAUUUUGCCUUGCCCAUUAUCCUUCGAACAUCUUUAUCAUCCUCAGCCCACAGAGGGGGAAAUUAAGGCUUCACGAAAGGAGCCCAGGCCAGCCCCAUUGCUCCAUGAGGACCCUGUGUGUAAUAAGAUAUUAACACUUUGUGUGCCAGCCCUACAGUAUUCCAUCGCCUAUGAGGUAAGACACUAUUAUUAGCCCCAUUUCACAGACGGAAACACAGAGGCACAGAGAGAACAGGAACCUCGCCGGAGGUAACGCAGCCAGAAAGUGGUGGCACUGGUAUUUGACCUCUGCCUGGUGUUCCAGAUCUGCCACACCAACAGCCAUAAACAACUUUUACACCCUGUGCCCCAAGCCCCAUGUAAGAGAGGAUCUGAUUGGUUGUCCCACUCGCCAACUUGUCACGGCUGCCCCCAUUGGUCGGAGCAUCACCCCAGCUGCCCAUCGCACCCUCCCCAUUGGACGCCAGCCAGCCUAUAGAAUGGCCGCCUUCAGCCCUGAAAGCUGUCCAAAGACCAGAGGGGCAAAGCUGGACUAGGAGAGAGAAGAGGUCUGAGUUCAAGUCUCAGCUGGGCAUCUGACUUGCUGUGUGACCUCGAGAAAGUCCCUUCUCCUUCCAGGGAUCAGUUCCUUCAGCUGUCAUAAUAAGGAUUGGACCAGAGGAGCAUUUCCCAAACUGCAAAAAAAGGGUUAAUAGCACACCACGAAAAGAGAGAGAGAGAGAGAGACAAUCUUUGGCCAAACACGUUGGGAAAAACCAUUUAACACCUAUUAGAGUAUUAAACACUCUGACUGAGGCUGGGCUGUCCAGUAUGGUAGCCACUAGUCACAUGUGAUGACUUAAAUUAAAAUUAAUUAAAAUCAGUUAAAAUUUAAAAUUCAUUGCCUCCAUCUCACCAGCCAUAUUGCAAGGGCUUGUUAGACAUGAGCGACUGGUGGUUACCACGCAGCACGGACGCAACUGGAGAAUUUCCUUGCUCACAGAAAGUGCUCAUUGAUGGUGCUGCAGUCAGAGGAGGGCUGUUCCAGUUUAACCAGAACCUCCCACCCGCAUUUGACCGCACUAUCCCUACGGCGCAUCUAUGACCAACGAGAGAAGUAAUACCGCUCCCGGGAACAUGGUCAGAUGUGGAGCGAGAGGAAUCUCUUGGGGCCCUUCCAACUCCAAGAGUGAAGAAGGGGGAACAUUCUGGUAACUGAAUUCCUCCUAGGGGAGGGAACUGCCUCCUAGGGGAGGGAACCGCCUGUGUGCAGCAGCUCUCUUGGCUAAAAACGACGUUGUAAUUGUGGACGCAGCUGGGACGCACUGGGAAGGAGGGGGCAGAGAACAUAGUUGUUCGUGGCAUGAAAGGGCGAGGAAUUGGGAGAGGGAGAGGAAAGAGGGGAGGCGAGUGGGUUGAGGGUCAGGGAGGAUCUAGCAGUCCGGUGGGAAGAUGGGGCCCAGGCAGGAGGAUGGACGGGGGGGCCAGGAUGGCUGAAGGACCGUGGAGAGCUGAGAGUUCUGAUGAGCAACUGGAAGGCGUCUGCUGGUGGCCGCACUGCAGUGUAGCCCGCUCACCCAUCAUCCCUGAGUACCUGUCUCCCAUACCUGGACACAUAACAUUGGGGAAAAUCAAGAAAUGGGGGUGCUGACCUUUGGGCUGCCUGGAAAGGGUCUUCAAGGGAGUCAAGAGUUGAAGGGUAGUGAAUCCAGCAGAAGAAGGUCGCAUGGAAAAGAAGAAUUGCCGAGGCAAGCUAGGGGAGACGGACCCCCACCACGAGAGUCCCCAGAGGGAUCAGAAGGUGUGGCGGCUUUAAAACAUGCCCCCCCCCAAGGCGCCUGGGUGGCUCAGUUGGUUAAGCAUCUGCCUUCAGCUCGGGUCGUGAUCUCGGGGUCCUGGGAUCUUGGGGUCCUGGGAUCGAGCCCUGUGUU